This 365-nucleotide long non-coding RNA is filed under the name Fukomys damarensis (Damara mole-rat). RNAcentral's name for it is "lncRNA (ENSFDAG00000022663.1)". The record is from RNAcentral. Lineage: Eukaryota; Metazoa; Chordata; Mammalia; Rodentia; Bathyergidae.
GCCGUAGAUUAUGGUUUGCCUCUGCUGUGCGGUACCAGCAGUGAUGCAGCACGAGGUCACCCCGGGUGUGCUGCAGAAAGAAACACUCAAGACAUUGUGAGCUGUCACACUCGUGCCAGCAGCGGGCUGUCACCUGCACGGUCUGCCGUUCUCCUGUAGGGUGGCCCUGGCUGUCUUCUCCCAUGAGUGAGGCAGCAAGUGCCUUGAGCCUGAAACCUCCCCCAUUUCUGCCAUAUCCACUUGGCCAGAAUGAGCCACAAACCCAGCCUGGACAACAAGAUGGGCAAGGACCCUGCCCUUGGUGAGGAGGUAAGUGCACAUUUGCACAUUGCUACACCGUGUCGUCCGAGAACCACCCUUCAGUG